This 573-nucleotide ribosomal RNA is filed under the name uncultured bacterium. RNAcentral describes it as "bacterial SSU rRNA". It matches the Rfam family "Bacterial small subunit ribosomal RNA", at positions 28 to 691 of the family's 1533-position model. The record is from RNAcentral.
GACGAACGCUGGCGGCGUGCUUAGCACAUGCAAGUCGUACGGAGUGGCGAACGGGUGAGUAACACGUGAGUAACCUGUCCACAACUUUGGGAUAACGCUAGGAAACUGGUGCUAAUACUGGAUAGUUGUGGAUGGACUCGCGGCCUAUCAGCUUGUUGGUGGGGUAGUGGCCUACCAAGGCGGCGACGGGUAGCCGGCCUGAGAGGGUGACCGGCCACAUUGGGACUGAGAUACGGCCCAGACUCCUACGGGAGGCAGCAGUGGGGAAUAUUGCACAAUGGGCGCAAGCCUGAUGCAGCAACGCCGCGUGCGGGAUGACGGCCUUCGGGUUGUAAACCGCUUUCAGCAGGGACGCGGUACCUGCAGAAGAAGCACCGGCUAACUACGUGCCAGCAGCCGCGGUGAUACGUAGGGUGCGAGCGUUGUCCGGAUUUAUUGGGCGUAAAGGGCUCGUAGGCGGUUGAUCGCGUCGGAAGUGGAAACUUGAUGCUUAACAUUGAGCGUGCUUUCGAUACGGGUUGACUUGAGGAAGGUAGGGGAGAAUGGAAUUCCUGGUGGAGCGGUGGAAUGCGC